CACACACACACACACACACACGCACACACACACGUAGGCAAGUGACCAUCAAAGCAGACCUUGGGCUAACGUGUGUGUGCGUGUGUCUUCACAGUGAUCAUAGCAACGCUGAGUAAACAUGCUGACAUAUUAAACCUGGGUCACAUGACCUCUCCUCUGAUAAAAGGACCCUCAGCACCUCGGACAGCGCCGACUCCUUCACCCUCUGAACGGCCGGUUCUGAUGCUUCACUGGUCUGAGCUGCGUUAGUCCCACCGGCCCGUGAGGGCGUUUCUCUUCUUUACUUUCUGUGAAUGUCGUUUUGAGCAAAUGGCAGAUGUUUGUCGUGUCAGGAGGAGGCGUGAUCAUCUGCAGACGGGAGAGUCGAAGCAGGACGAUUCACGAACAAAUGAUUAAUGGUGUUUUCAUUCAGUCCCUGGAAUCGUAUUGAUCUGUUAUUGGUCUGGUCUGUUCCUCAAGCUUGAAGCUCUGACUUUUCUCUUCUAUUUUUAGACGUUUUAUAAAGUAAAGAAUGAAUCGAUAUGUACAGGAAAACAUCCGCAGAUGAAUUACUGAUUGAACGUAAACAUUCUUAUCAGAAUAUGUAACAUCACUAAACCUGCCCCCCCCUGAUCCCCCUUUGACUCAAAAAGUCAAAAGAUAUUAGGUCAAUAUUCAAAAUAUGUUUGUUAAAAAAGUCCAAAAAUAUUAUGUCAAAAUAUUUCAGGCCAAAAAAAGGUUCAAUGUUUUGAAAAAUAUAUAUAUAUAUAUAUAUAAAGUUGAAAAACUCAUAUCAAAUCAAAAUAUGUUAGGUCCAAACAUUCAGGGAAAGAAAAAUGUCAACAACAAGAAAUAUCGGGUCAAACUUUUCACCAAAAAAAAAGUUUAAAAAAUGUUCAUGAAAAUGAAGUCACUGAAAAAGUGUUUUGAUGUUUUGAGAAAAAGUCAAAAUAUGUUGUGUGGAAAAAAGUCUAAAAAUUAUGGAAAAUGGUCGGAAAAUAUUUUAGUUCAAAAGUCAAAAUAUCAUCGAAUAAUAUCAUGGAUCAAAAAAGUAAAAAAAUCUUAGGUCAAAAUAUGUUUUGAAAAAAACCUUCAGCCGUGAAUCAGAUACCUGACGAAUAAUCCUGAUUCCUCCUGUUGCUGCUGUCUCACUGACUCCGACUAGUGUUUCCAUGGCGAUGACGCUUCGCUGCGUCAUGAGUAAGCACCACGAGGUGUGUGUCUGUCUGUGUGUCUGUGCGUCUGUGUGUGUGUGUGUGUGUGUCUCACUUAGACGUGCUAAGAAUCCAAAGGUGAUGCUGCACUCCCAAGCGUCUUCUAACACACACACACACACACUAAUCACCCUGCCGCCUCACGUAGAUGUGAUAAUAGCUAAUUCAUCAUUGUGUAGGAAUAUUCCCUGCGUGUGUUUGUGCGUUUGUGUGUGUGUCUCUUUCCUUUAAUGUCAAGUCCAGCGAUGCAGAUCAGAGCAGACUUACAUUCACUGAUUAGACAAAGACACACACUCACCGACGACUCUCUCAAACCUCACAUGGAUGCAAACCACACACACACACACACACACACACACACACACACACAAUACAGCCUGAAACACAAAGACCUGCCCAAUUAAGAAGACUGAUGUAGCGCAACAAAUUCAAUUAUAUCUCAUUGUAUAAUUACAUGUGACUAAAUUAAAGGCAGGAAGGAUGGAAGGAAGGAAGGAAGGAGGAGAAGGUCUCAACCUGAACAUCAUAGCGUGAUGGAGGGAGAGGAGAGGAGAGGAGGUUCAAACCAGACCGACGAGGCUGAAAGGGAGGAGCGGCACGCGAGAAUCCUCCACCGUUACUGAGUGAGGGAUGAAGGAGAGAAGGUGGAGGAAGGAACAGAGGGUUUAUGGAGGCGAUGAAGGGUGGACGGACGGAGGGGACGACGGUGGAGAUAAACGAGAAGACCGAGAGGUGGAAUAGAACGUCUGCUGAGAGCAUGCCAGAGAGGAUUAUGGGAAGGAAGGAGAAUUAAAGAAAAAAUGAAUAAACCUGAAGAGAAGGAUGAAGAGGAACAGAGGAAGAGGAGGGAUUAGGGGGGGGGGGGUGCUCCCCCAGGAUGGGUUGUAGCACCGGGAGUUGAGAUAUUUUCAGUUCAGCCAGCGGUCUCCUCUCCUCGCUGUUGGUUCUAUCUUUAGAGCGUUACACAACAAAGGUUCUCAUCACCGGCCAACAUGGUUCCACUCAGCAAAUGAAGAUAAUGGAAGGUGAUGAAGAUGAUGGAAGGUGAUGAAGAUGAUGGAAGGUGAUGAAGAUGAUGGAAGAUAAUGGAAGGUGAUGAAGAUAAUGGAAGGUGAUGAAGAUGAUGGUAGGGGAUGAAGAUGAUGGUAGAUAAUGGAAGGUGAUGAAGAAAAUGGAAGGUGAUGAAGAUGAUGGUAGGGGAUGCCUGAGAAUCAGAAGUGUUCAGAAGGUCAAUUGGAGACUUUUCGUAUUGCUUUUGUCAAAUAGCUGCAGAUGUUGCAGAUGUUGUGCAUCUGGAUGGAGGUCAAGAAAACCCAGAUGAAAGGAGGUGGAGCGAAAUAUUUAAGAACUGUAACAGAGAAGAUUUGGGGGUGGGGGGGUGGAGGCUGAUGGAGGGCAGGAGUGAUGGAGCGAGAACAGCUGGAGGGCAGAGAGCGUGAUGGAGGGAGCUUAAAGAGAGGGAGAAAUGGAUGGAUGAAGUAACGAGGAGAGGGGAGGCACAUAGAGAGAGAACUUUCUCCCAUUGGAGACUGAGCUGCAACUGAGCUUUAAUGCUUAAUGUAACAUGUUCAUGUGGUCAUAUGUUCAUGGUUCAUAUGUUCAUGUUUCAUGUGUUCAUAUGUUCAUGUUAUCUGUGUUCAUUUU
Molecule: long non-coding RNA, 2837 nt
Organism: Gasterosteus aculeatus aculeatus (three-spined stickleback)
Lineage: Eukaryota; Metazoa; Chordata; Actinopteri; Perciformes; Gasterosteidae
Source: Ensembl